AUGGCGGAGCCGGAGGCGGCGGACGGCGGCGGCUGGCAGGAGAUGAUGCGGCGGAUCCUUCCCCCCGGCGCCCCCGUCCCGGAGGAGGCGCCCAACCUCGACUACUCCAUCGCGCUCGUGUACGACGGCCCGCCGGUGCCCUACGACCUCCCCCGGGUGGACCCGGUGGAGAUCCCCGCCGAGAUCCCCACGGCGGAGCCGGCAUCGGGGCCCCAGACCCUCGGGAGCGGGGGACGAGGGCUUCCCGUGGCGCCGGUGGUCGAGCCGAUCCGCCUCCCGGUGUCCCGGAUCGCCCGGUGCGCGGAGCCUGCGGCGGCGGCCGCCAGGCAGGGCGGCGACGGAAGCUCGGAGUCGGUCAACUCGGUGCUGCAGAACGGGGAGUUCGACGAUGAGGACGACGACUCCCGGUCCCGGUCGCACGGCUCGGCGCAGAGCUCGCCGGGGCCGGGGAGCCGGGACGGGAGGAGGGCGCCCGUGGUGACCUUCGGGUUCACGCCGGACAGCAAGUACGGCGAGAGCGGCGACGACAUGUCGGAGCAGUACGUGGCGGUCACCAAGCAGGAGAAGAGGCGGCGCCGGAGGAGGAUGGCGUGCAACCGGUGUGGGAAGCGGAAAUGGGAGAGCAAGGAGGCCUGCAUCGUCUGCGACGCGAGGUACUGCGGCUACUGCGUGCUGAGGAUGAUGGGGUCGAUGCCCGAAGGGCGCAAGUGCGUCAGUUGCAUUGGGGGGCCGAUCGACGAGUCGAAGAGGUCCAAGCUCGGGAAGAGCUCCAGGACACUCGCGCGCUUGCUCAGCCCGUUGGAAGUGAGGCAGAUUUUGAAAGCCGAGAAGGAGUGCCAAGCGAACCAGCUUCGGCCAGAGCAGCUUAUCGUGAACGGCUGCCCGUUGAGGCCGGAGGAGCUGACCGACUUGCUUAGCUGCUCGCGGCCACCUCAGAAGCUCAAGCCUGGAAGAUACUGGUACGACAAGGAGUCGGGCUUAUGGGGAAAGGAUGGACAAAAGCCAGACAGGAUUGUUAGCUCCAACCUCAAUUUCAGCGGGAAGCUUCAUGCCAAGGCUAGCAACGGCAACACCCAGGUUUAUAUAAAUGGAAGGGAAAUUACAAAGAGUGAGCUGAAAAUUCUCAAGGUUGCACAUGUUCAGUGUCCACGUGAUACACAUUUCUGGGUUUAUGACGAUGGUCGUUAUGAGGAAGAAGGACAGAACAACAUCAAAGGAAAAAUAUGGGAGUCAGCCUUGACACGUUUUGCAUGUGCGCUGUUCUCACUUCCGGUGCCUCCUGGGGACUCUAAUGGAACCAAGGACGAAAUUCCCUUUGUACCAAGAACUGUCCCUGAUUAUUUGGAUCAGAAAAGAAUCCAAAAACUAUUGCUUCUUGGACCACCUAGUGCUGGUACAAGCACUAUAUUUAAGCAGGCUAAGUACCUCUAUGGAACAAGGUUCACCCAAGAUGAACUUGAUGCUAUCAAAUUAAUGAUCCAAAGCAAUAUGUUCAAGUAUCUUGGAAUUUUGCUAGAAGGCCGUGAGCGUUUUGAGGAAGAGGCUUUGUCUAGAUUGGAUCAAACAACUUCGGAGGAUGAAGCAGCACAAAAAGAUGAAAAUAAAGCUAAUGGUCCAGAUUCGUGUAUAUACUCAAUAAAUGCAAGGCUGAAGAAAUUCUCCGAUUGGCUUUUGGAUAUCAUAGCAAUGGGCGAUCUAGAUGCAUUCUUCCCUGCCGCAACACGUGAAUAUGCUCCAUUUGUCGAGGAGAUGUGGAAGGAUCCUGCCAUACAAGCAACAUAUAAAAGAAAGGAUGAGUUACAUUUCCUCCCUGAUGUUGCUGAGUACUUCUUGAGCAGGGCUAUUGAGGUAUCAAGCAAUGAGUAUGAACCUUCAGAGAAAGAUGUGAUCUUUGCUGAAGGAGUAACACAGGGGAAUGGGUUGUCUUUCAUCGAGUUCACCCUUGAUGAUCGCAGCCCCAUGUCCGAACCUUACAUCGACAACCCAGAGGCGCAUUCUCAGCCUCUCACCAAGUUUCAGCUGAUCAGAGUCAGCGCCAAGGGCAUGAAUGAUGGCUGCAAGUGGGUGGAAAUGUUUGAGGAUGUCCGCAUGGUGAUAUUCUGCGUCGCACUCAGUGACUAUGACCUAGUGGGAACCCCUGUGAAUGGCAAUCUUCAGAACAAGAUGAUGCAGAGCAAAGAGUUAUUUGAGGCUACUAUCAGGCAACCAUGCUUCUGCGACACGCCGUUCGUGCUUGUGCUCAACAAGUACGACCUGUUCGAGGAGAAGAUCAGCCGUGCCCCGCUGACGGCGUGCGAGUGGUUUGCCGACUUCUCCCCGGUGCGGACGCAGAGCAACAACCAGUCGCUCGCCCAGCAGGCCUACUACUACGUGGCGAUGAAGUUCAAGGAGGCGUACAACGAGCACACGGGGCGGAAGCUGUUCGUGUGGCAGGCGCGGGGGCGCGACCGGCAGACGGUGGACGAGGCCUUCAAGUACAUCCGGGAGGUGCUCAAGUGGGAGGAGGAGAAGGACGAUAACUACUACCAGGAGGAGUCCUUCUACAGCACCACCGAGAUGAGCUCCUCCCCCUUCAUCCGAGCCGAAUGA
This 2589-nucleotide ribosomal RNA is filed under the name Triticum aestivum (bread wheat). RNAcentral's name for it is "partial small subunit ribosomal RNA". The record is from RNAcentral. Lineage: Eukaryota; Viridiplantae; Streptophyta; Magnoliopsida; Poales; Poaceae.